GUUUACAGCCACACUCUACUGAAUGCACCCAAUCUCAUCUGAUGUCAAAAGCUAAGCAGGGUCAGGCCUGGUUAGUACUUGAAUGGGAGAAAGAUCUUCAGAGGAGACUGUUCAGA
RNAcentral lists this ribosomal RNA (116 nucleotides) under Castor canadensis (American beaver). The record is from RNAcentral. Lineage: Eukaryota; Metazoa; Chordata; Mammalia; Rodentia; Castoridae.